GGACGUUUAGCUCAAUAGGUUAGAGCAGAGAACUCAUAAUUCUCAGUUGAUCGGUUCAAAUCCGAUAACGUCCACCA
RNAcentral lists this transfer RNA (77 nucleotides) under Thomasclavelia cocleata. RNAcentral describes it as "[Clostridium] cocleatum tRNA-Met". It matches the Rfam family "tRNA". From Rfam's summary of the family: Transfer RNA (tRNA) molecules are approximately 80 nucleotides in length. Their secondary structure includes four short double-helical elements and three loops (D, anti-codon, and T loops). The record is from RNAcentral. Lineage: Bacteria; Bacillati; Bacillota; Erysipelotrichia; Erysipelotrichales; Coprobacillaceae.